CCUACGGGUGGCAGCAGUGAGGAAUAUUGGUCAAUGGGCGCGAGCCUGAACCAGCCAAGUAGCGUGAAGGAUGACGGCCCUACGGGUUGUAAACUUCUUUUAUAAAGGAAUAAAGUGAGGCACGUGUGCCGUUUUGUAUGUACGUUAUGAAUAAGGAUCGGCUAACUCCGUGCCAGCAGCCGCGGUAAUACGGAGGAUCCGAGCGUUAUCCGGAUUUAGUGGGGUUAAAGGGAGCGUAGAUUGGUUGUUAAGUCAGUUGUGAAAGUUUGCGGCUCAACCGUAAAAUUGCAAUUGAUACUGGCAGCCUUGCGUACAGUUGAGGUCGGCGUCAUUCGUGUUGUAGCGG
This 346-nucleotide ribosomal RNA is filed under the name uncultured bacterium. Its description in RNAcentral is "partial 16S ribosomal RNA". It matches the Rfam family "Bacterial small subunit ribosomal RNA", at positions 338 to 681 of the family's 1533-position model. The record is from RNAcentral.